RNAcentral lists this unclassified non-coding RNA (251 nucleotides) under Glomus sp. RNAcentral describes it as "partial internal transcribed spacer 2". Lineage: Eukaryota; Fungi; Glomeromycota; Glomeromycetes; Glomerales; Glomeraceae. The record is from RNAcentral.
GUGAAUCAUCGAAUUUUUGAACGCAAAUUGCACUCUCUUCUGAUAGGAUGGCUGUUUGAGGUUCAGCCUAAAUUAAAUCGUCAUCGUUGCUGUUGCGCGGUGGCGUUCGGCGGAAAGUGGUUUAUCUUAAAUCUUUGGUUUAAGCGACUUAAAAUUUUCUUAACGAUUCUAUGAACGUUUCCUAGUUUUAUUUCUUUACACGUUUAAGGUAUCGAUUUUAUGAGGCGUGGUCUCCAUAUCGGAUCAUGUCC